Molecule: non-coding RNA, 246 nt
Organism: Camelina sativa (false flax)
Lineage: Eukaryota; Viridiplantae; Streptophyta; Magnoliopsida; Brassicales; Brassicaceae
Source: RefSeq, a predicted model, not a curated record
AGGUCUUGGACAUGUCUUUCCGGGAUUGGAUUAUGGCAUUCUUGGCAUGUGUGUUGGUGGCAAAAGAAAGCUUACAAUCCCUCCAGCAUUGGGACAUGGUGUGGAAGGUUUUCGUGACACUAUUACUCCUGAGGCCUGGCUGGUGUUUGAAGUUGAACUUCUUAGUUUAAAAUAAAUAAAUAAAUAAAACUUCCUUUGAAUUAAUACAUGCAUAAUUAAGUUUUGUUUGGUGUGUUCUAGCUUUUA